Long non-coding RNA from Anas platyrhynchos (mallard), 1316 nucleotides. RefSeq lists it as uncharacterized. Lineage: Eukaryota; Metazoa; Chordata; Aves; Anseriformes; Anatidae. The record is from RefSeq and is a predicted model, not a curated record.
AGCGAGCCGACAGCUCCUUCACGGAGAGCGAAGAGCACCUCCCUCGUCCUUGCUGGAGUAUGCGCCUUGUGCUGUCUGAGACGUCUAAAAAUGACCGCGUCCUCUCAUCUGAAACAGAGACCGGUGGGCGCGGGAGAAAACGUGGGCAUUUGCACUGCCCCCAUGUCAGAAUGGAUGGUGGGACCUGAGAGCAACCCACCAGGCAGCGGCCUGAUGCCACUGUCCUGCCUGUGGCACAGAUCCUGCACCCACCCCUGCAUCCCUAGAUGAGGCUAUCACCAAAACGAAACAAGUCUGGAUGUGAAGGAGCUAUGCGUGUUGAACUUAAGCCAAUUCCUACUGUUUUUGCUCCGUGACCGCUUCCCCCUGCUGUCAGCAUGUCUCACAAGCAGUUAUACCCAUUUAUCUUCAUCUCUUCCUUUCAGGAAACCAAGAGAUGAUGAGGCUACGAGACUUGCCCACAGACAUAGCUUGGGGUCUGCAGCAGAGCCAGAGGAAUGAGCCCUUCUCUUAGCUUAGAGAUGUGAUGAGCUGAGCUGCACCAGCCCCCCGUGAGGCCUACUGGGGCCCAGCAUGGCAUUCCUGAGAUAUUUGGCAUUCCUCCGGCCUUUGUUCAGCUGCCUCCCAUGGAGAUGACUCCAGCUGGGGAUGUUCCUGUCUAGUUCAUGAAGAAACAGCUAUUUUGGGAGGGGGUGAGCUAUCAGCCAGACCAGAGGUGUGCAGAGGGACCACUGGCUAGAGCAGUCACGCGUGGCCAGCCCGUACCCAGCCCAUGCUCCCUCACUCCCUCCCAUGAUCUCCAUCCCCUUAAGAGCCCGGGCUUCCACUCCCCCUGAGGAUGUAUCAAAAUGAAUGGCUCAAAUACAGAUGGCUUCACUUUCCCAACAACAGGACAACUCCAAAUCCCCACUGAAAAACUUCUUUUUGCAUCGCUCCACUAGGUGCGAGCAGGAUGGCCAGCUCUGCCUCCUAUAUCCCACCACAGACGUACAGAGAGCCCUGCACUUGUGUACUGCUUCUUAGCCCUCCGGGUUAGCCAGAGCUGUCAUUUCUCUGUUACCACUGCCAAAACACGAGAAGCUUCUCUCUUUUUGCAGGCUUGCACUGCUGCAUUCGGAUUUAGAGCGGUAUUUGCAAUGCUUUCUGUUUGAACAAUGGGCUCGCUCUCCACAAAUCCAGUCUUUGCACAGCCAGGAAAGGGCUGAUAUACUUUUUAAUAUGUGCACAUUGCAAACACUGCCGCAGUUCCGGUGUUCUUUGCCCUCAAAUCGCAGUCCCCAAACCAUGAGAUUUUGUAAAUGAAGUUAAUGACUCUU